Non-coding RNA from Vicia faba (fava bean), 236 nucleotides. NCBI's taxonomy places the organism in Eukaryota, Viridiplantae, Streptophyta, Magnoliopsida, Fabales, Fabaceae. The record is from the annotation of a GenBank genome assembly.
AUGAUCUCACUCCACGGAGGGAAAAGGUUUGUUAAUUCAUUCAAAAGACGGGCUUUCCUAGCUCAUAUAGUGGAAAGCGCCCUUCCCACAUCGAUCCCUCGAGGUGGAAGAAUGAUGAAACCUGCCAAGUCUCUGGAGUGUGCUUCUAUCGCCCGAGCAAGAGAAGGGCUGCAGAUGAGCUAUCAAGUCGUGCAUUUCUCCCGAAAGUGAGGAGAAUGCCCCGGAUAUCCUCAUAG